GCGCCCUUAGCUCAGUCGGAUAGAGCAGCUGCCUUCUAAGCAGCGGGUCGGGGGUUCGAGUCCCUCAGGGCGCGCCA
RNAcentral lists this transfer RNA (77 nucleotides) under Rhodospirillales bacterium. Its description in RNAcentral is "tRNA-Arg". It matches the Rfam family "tRNA". Rfam says of the family: Transfer RNA (tRNA) molecules are approximately 80 nucleotides in length. Their secondary structure includes four short double-helical elements and three loops (D, anti-codon, and T loops). Further hydrogen bonds mediate the characteristic L-shaped molecular structure. tRNAs have two regions of fundamental functional importance: the anti-codon, which is responsible for specific mRNA codon recognition, and the 3' end, to which the tRNAs corresponding amino acid is attached (by aminoacyl-tRNA synthetases). tRNAs cope with the degeneracy of the genetic code in two manners: having more than one tRNA (with a specific anti-codon) for a particular amino acid; and 'wobble' base-pairing, i.e. permitting non-standard base-pairing at the 3rd anti-codon position. Lineage: Bacteria; Pseudomonadati; Pseudomonadota; Alphaproteobacteria; Rhodospirillales. The record is from RNAcentral.